RNAcentral lists this long non-coding RNA (876 nucleotides) under Cimex lectularius (bed bug). RNAcentral describes it as "uncharacterized LOC106670820, transcript variant X3". Lineage: Eukaryota; Metazoa; Arthropoda; Insecta; Hemiptera; Cimicidae. The record is from RNAcentral.
AUAUCUAAAAAAAAAAAAAAAAAAAAAAAUCAAAAAACAAAGAAAAAUGAAAAGAUGUAAAGGCCUCAGUCUUAACAACCCUACACAAGAACAAGACAGUUUUCUCAUAGACUGAAAAGAAGAUGACAUUAAAAGCUAAAACAACACAUUCCCCAUUUGAAGACGCUAGUUUUGAAUGUGCUGGGUUGAUUGAAAAACGAAAAAAAAAAAAAAAAAAAAAAAAAAAAAAAGGACCCUGCUUACACAGAAACCCUUGAAAUGUUAGAUAACUUCCAUCGACAAAAAUACAAAGCCCUUUAACAGCAUUUUUUCUCCAACAGCACUAUUUUGGAAGAGUUCAAAUUCGAGGGUGACAGACUCGAGACGGCCCCGCAUCGCUUGUUUUGACACAUCAUGUUUUUGAUCUCAAAACUAGUUUUUUCCGCAUGGUAAGGAGCAUGUUUUGCAAGCAUCCUGUAAUAUCAUUAUACAAAAAAGAGAAAAGGAUCUUGUGAUUGUUUGAAACUCUUAGAUUGUGCACGUGUAAAAUAAUCUCUUGAGAUGGAAAAGUAAUUAUUUCCCUAUUGACGGUAUCAUUUAUUUUUAUUGGUGAUCUUAUAUUCAAUGCUAGUCCUGCUCUAAGCGAAUAGAAAUUGAGCAGAUUAACUAAGACAAAAGUCAAAAUUGAACGCAUCUAACAAAAAUCCCCUAGAAAAAGCUGAACCAAAAGUUACCAUUGAUAAUCCUGUACGAGAAAUAUUGUAGCACAUAUAGGACAUUCAAUUUCUGGUCUCAGACCAAUUUUAUGCCAAAGCUCAAAUAAAUGAUUGACAAUGUGAUCUUGUUUAAUUUUUGUUAAUUAAUUUUUUGCAAUAAAGUUAAUUUGUUUAAACAGUU